This 1189-nucleotide long non-coding RNA is filed under the name Callithrix jacchus (white-tufted-ear marmoset). Its description in RNAcentral is "lncRNA (ENSCJAG00000076592.1)". Lineage: Eukaryota; Metazoa; Chordata; Mammalia; Primates; Cebidae. The record is from RNAcentral.
CCCCGAUCUCAUCACAAAGUAACAGCGACCAUCCUGCUCGCCACAGACACAAUUCAAGUUCAUUUAGUGCUCCAAUGUCCGAACCCAGGAAAGGAGAAGAAAAGGGUUUGGGGGGGUGGGGGUGGAUUCCUUCCUCCCUAACCCCCCCGCACUGCAAUAGCCCAGACGCCAGUCAAUAAUUAUAUCUACAAACUAUCCAGGCACGUAGUGCAAGGCAAGCAAAAAAAAAAAAAAAAAAAAAAAAAGUAGGAAAAAAAACCCACUCCCCCACAACCCUUUAAAAAUAACAGAAAAAGAAGUUAAAUAUAUACAUAGAAAUUAAAAGUACACCCUUACAGAAUUUCAUCUAGUAAUCCUCACUGAUCAGAAAUGAAACAAUGCUAGUAAUUAGAAGCAAGUGCAUGUUAGAGAAACAAGCAGAGGGUUUGCAGCGUAGUACGGGCGCACCGCCUGUGCAUGGCUGUGCGUCGGACUGACCUUGCCUCUCUGAUACAAAGCAGGGUUUUCCGCGGCGUCUGUUGUUGAGGCUGCUGGUGGAGUUCUUGCUGUGGUUGCGGGUUGCCCAGAAGUCCCCCCGAGGUGCUGUCCAGUCCCCCCGGUGCUGAAAUCACGCCCGACCGAAGGACUCACGCUGCCCAGCCAAUGGCGCUGGAAAUUUUCCGCAAUCGCUGCGUUUUGUGGUUGUCCAUCCUUUUCCUUUCCUCCCCUUCGGUCCUCUUAAGCCUUUUUUUUUUUUUUUUUUUUUUUUUUGCUUAUUUUUUCUUUCCUCUUACCACACCAAUCACAAAUAGAAAAUUUACAGUCAGGAUAUUCCUAUUCAGAUAUCUUACAACAUUUUUCUAAUUCUAUCAUUUUCAAAUAAUUUUUUAUCUCUGUACUCUAGGAAAAACUUGUGGUACUUCCCAGAUGAGCAGCUAAACCUGAGAAGAAAAGAUUAAGAUUAUACCUCCCAUAUGAAGAUCUCCAAUACAAACUUGCAAGCAAAAUACAGAGGUACACAUGUAAGUCUAUUGAAAUGUGUCCUCUAUAAUAGCUAUCAUAAUUUAAAACUAUUUUUAUAAUAAAUAUAUUUUAGAGACAUAAAAUGGUCUAGAAAACCAUACACAACUUCAAAGCCUAACUAUUCCAGUUCAACAGUAAAUUUAUUGGUGAAGAAUAAAAAUAUAUGGGACUUAUACGUCAUCUAAAU